This 427-nucleotide ribosomal RNA is filed under the name uncultured bacterium. RNAcentral describes it as "bacterial SSU rRNA". It matches the Rfam family "Bacterial small subunit ribosomal RNA", at positions 355 to 774 of the family's 1533-position model. The record is from RNAcentral.
UGGGGAAUUUUGGACAAUGGGCGCAAGCCUGAUCCAGCAAUGCCGCGUGCAGGAUGAAGGCCUUCGGGUUGUAAACUGCUUUUGUACGGAGCGAAAAGGUCUGCCCUAAUACGGUGGGCUCAUGACGGUACCGUAAGAAUAAGCACCGGCUAACUACGUGCCAGCAGCCGCGGUAAUACGUAGGGUGCGAGCGUUAAUCGGAAUUACUGGGCGUAAAGCGUGCGCAGGCGGUUAUAUAAGACAGAUGUGAAAUCCCCGGGCUCAACCUGGGACCUGCAUUUGUGACUGUAUAGCUAGAGUACGGUAGAGGGGGAUGGAAUUCCACGUGUAGCAGUGAAAUGCGUAGAUAUGCGGAGGAACACCGAUGGCGAAGACAAUCCCGUGGACCUGUACUGACGCUCAUGCACGAAAGCGUGGGGAGCAAACA